This 467-nucleotide ribosomal RNA is filed under the name uncultured bacterium. RNAcentral's name for it is "partial 16S ribosomal RNA". It matches the Rfam family "Bacterial small subunit ribosomal RNA", at positions 28 to 506 of the family's 1533-position model. The record is from RNAcentral.
GACGAACGCUGGCGGCGUGCUUAACACAUGCCAGUCGAACGGAAAGGCCCUGCUUUUGUGGGGUGCUCGAGUGGCGAACGGGUGAGUAACACGUGAGUAACCUGCCCUUGACUUUGGGAUAACUUCAGGAAACUGGGGCUAAUACCGGAUAGGAGCUCCUGCUGCAUGGUGGGGGUUGGAAAGUUUCGGCGGUUGGGGAUGGACUCGCGGCUUAUCAGCUUGUUGGUGGGGUAGUGGCUUACCAAGGCUUUGACGGGUAGCCGGCCGGAGAGGGUGACCGGCCACAUUGGGACUGAGAUACGGCCCAGACUCCUACGGGAGGCAGCAGUGGGGAAUAUUGCACAAUGGGCGGAAGCCUGAUGCAGCAACGCCGCGUGCGGGAUGACGGCCUUCGGGUUGUAAACCGCUUUCGCCUGUGACGAAGCGUGAGUGACGGUAAUGGGUAAAGAAGCACCGGCGAACUACGU